This 425-nucleotide ribosomal RNA is filed under the name uncultured bacterium. Its description in RNAcentral is "bacterial SSU rRNA". It matches the Rfam family "Bacterial small subunit ribosomal RNA", at positions 356 to 771 of the family's 1533-position model. The record is from RNAcentral.
GGGGAAUUUUUCGCAAUGGGCGCAAGCCUGACGAAGCAACGCCGCGUAGAGGAUGAAGGCCCUCGCGGUCGUAAACUCUUGUCUAGCGGGACGAAACUUUUACAGAUGAAUAAUCUGUGAGAUUGACUGUACCGCUGGAGGAAGCUCCGGCCAACUCCGUGCCAGCAGCCGCGGUAAUACGGAGGGGGCUAGCGUUGUUCGGAAUUACUGGGCGUAAAGGGCGUGUAGGCGGCUUGCCAAGUCAGGCGUGAAAGCCCCGGGCUUAACCUGGGAACUGCGUUUGAGACUGGCAGGCUAGAGGUUGGAAGAGGAGAGUGGAAUUCCCAGUGUAGAGGUGAAAUUCGUAGAUAUUGGGAAGAACACCGGUGGCGAAGGCGGCUCUCUGGUCCACACCUGACGCUGAGGCGCGAAAGCGUGGGGAGCAA